Molecule: transfer RNA, 63 nt
Filed under: Tenebrionoidea sp. 20 KM-2017
Lineage: Eukaryota; Metazoa; Arthropoda; Insecta; Coleoptera
Description: tRNA-Gly
Source: RNAcentral
AUUUUCAUAGUAUAAAAAUUAUAUUUGACUUCCAAUCAAAAGACCUAUCUAAUAGUGAAAAUA